AAUCACCCAAGUAGUGUAUCACCACACCAAGUAGAGAAGUGAGCUACCAUGAUAGGGUUGUGUGUAGGGUAGCCACUAAAGAGAGUGUUGUACCAACAUUGAAAUAGUGAAUAAAGUGUUGAGUUCCUACAAAUUUGAUAUCCCAAGUAGUGUAGUGUGCAAAGGUCCUCAAAAGUGGGUGUUAGGGUCGCCGCCCGUAAAAUCUCUACAGCAAUAACACAACAAAUCUAGCCGCGCAAAUGCUUGGGUCACCCUACAAGUUAAUGCUGAAUGUAGAAAUGAACUACUGAAGCAUUAUGCUCAUAUCAACAUAUAAGUCAGGGGCCUAAAGUACAGAAGCCUAGCUGUGUCUUCCGACUCAAACUUCGGUCACGGCAGUCCCUCACGAUAGCCUCCUGUCAUGGUCAGACCCAUGAAGAGCAGGCUGCCCAGCCUGGGCAGCCGUGUGAUCAUUUCCAGCUUGGAAUGACACCGAGGCUGGUGUGGCUAUUUGCCUACCUGUGUGGAGUAACCGUGUCCAAUGUGGCAGCUAGGUAUCAAAUGUGUGAAUUUGUUACAGAAAUUGGAUGGCUUUUUAUGUUUGAAGAUACUUUAAACCUGUAGGAGUUCAAUUUAAAUUUUGAAAUUGGUAGGAAACUGAAUCAGAGCAUCUCUUUAGGCUGCCUCAUCUAUAUUUGAGGGAGCUAUGCUAAUAAAUAAGGUAAGCAAGAUAACUCUCGAGGCCUCUUUCUCUUAUUCCUCGUGUGUGCCCCCUCUAGUUCCCUCCCCUACCAGUCUACCUUAUCCACAGCACCUAGCCACCAUGUCCCUAAGCUGAAAUUUUCAGUUUUUUUUAGGGUAGCUGAAACUUCAGUUUACCACAACUAAGCUUUAUGUUCCCAUAGGGAACAGGAGUACGUGAGACCCCAUCUCUGUGAAGAUUCCAAAUCCGGAUUUUGUAGAUGUCCAUUAAAUACCUGGUCCCUACUGCUUCGGACGGAGGCGCAGGGGUGUAUGGAUUUUGGGUACAACCGUUUGGAAAUGGUAGCAUGGGAGUUCUUCAGCCGGUUUGGGUGGCGCGCCAGUCUUAGGUGGGAAGGACGCUGAUUUUUUCCUUCCAUCCUUUUUUGUAUUCAGCUGGAACCUUGAGACAUCUACUUUGAAUUGAAUGAUUAUAAUAAUUGAUGUCCGUGUGCAUCGAUCGAUGCAGAGGCCGGGGGAUGCCAUCCUUUUCGCAAAAAAAAGAUGUCCAUUAAAUGUGGGAUGAACUUGAAGCUGCACAUGUCAAGUCACCAGAGGUCCUCGAACAAUUUUGGGUGUCUCACGCAAGUCCCUGAACUUUGAAAAUCAUUGUCCAGGUCCUUGAAGUACAAUUAGUGGCUCAUCCAGGUCCAGAUCAGUCGGCAUGUUGACCGUUGACCAGAACUAUUUCGGGGCUGAUUUGGACCUGAAUGAGUCACUCUCAUCCAGGUGCAAAUCUGUUGGCAUGUUGACCAUUGACCAGAACGAUUUCGGGGCUGACUUGGACCUGAACGAGUCACCAAGUAUAAUUAGAUGACUAGAUGGCGAUUUUCAAAGUUUUGGGACCUACCCGAGACCAGAAAUAGUUUGAGAACCUCUAGUGCACUUUACUCUUUUGAAAAGCUUGAGCAUCAUGGCCCUUGGGUGCAUUUUAUUACUGAAGAGAAUCACUGCUAAAUCUCCAUGCUGUUAGUUUAAGCAUCUGCUAUUGCUUAGUGAGAUGUAAAUUUGUAUUUCUUUGCCAC
RNAcentral lists this long non-coding RNA (1745 nucleotides) under Brachypodium distachyon (stiff brome). RNAcentral describes it as "long non-coding RNA (BDIS_LNC002595)". The record is from RNAcentral. Lineage: Eukaryota; Viridiplantae; Streptophyta; Magnoliopsida; Poales; Poaceae.